UAGGGAAUCUUCCACAAUGGACGCAAGUCUGAUGGAGCAACGCCGCGUGAGUGAAGAAGGUUUUCGGACCGUAAAGCUCUGUUGUUGGUGAAGAAGGAUAGAGGUAGUAACUGGCCUUUAUUUGACGGUAAUCAACCAGAAAGUCACGGCUAACUACGUGCCAGCAGCCGCGGUAAUCGUAGGUGGCAAGCGUUGUCCGGAUUUAUUGGGCGUAAAGCGAGCGCAGGCGGAAGAAUAAGUCUGAUGUGAAGCCCUCGGCUUAACCGAGGAAUUGCAUCGGAAACUGUUUUCUUGAGUGCAGAAGAGGAGAGUAGAACUCCAUGUGUAGCGGUGGAAUGCGUAGAUAUAUGGAAGAAUACCAGUGGCGAAGGCGGCUCUCUGGUCUGCAACUGACGCUGAGGCUCGAAAGCAUGGGUAGCGAACAGGAUUAGAUACCCUGGUAGUCCAUGCCGUAAACGAUGAGUGCUAAGUGUUGGGAGGCUUCCGCCUCUCAGUGCUGCAGCUAACGCAUUAAGCACUCCGCCUGGGGGAGUACGACCGCAAGGUUGAAAC
This 552-nucleotide ribosomal RNA is filed under the name uncultured bacterium. RNAcentral describes it as "partial 16S ribosomal RNA". It matches the Rfam family "Bacterial small subunit ribosomal RNA", at positions 355 to 900 of the family's 1533-position model. The record is from RNAcentral.